Molecule: ribosomal RNA, 245 nt
Filed under: Succinivibrio dextrinosolvens DSM 3072
Lineage: Bacteria; Pseudomonadati; Pseudomonadota; Gammaproteobacteria; Aeromonadales; Succinivibrionaceae
Description: 16S rRNA. Bacterial SSU
Rfam family: Bacterial small subunit ribosomal RNA
Source: RNAcentral
AUGGCUCAGAUUGAACGCUGGCGGCAGGCCUAAUACAUGCAAGUCGAACGGUAACAUAGGAAAAGCUUGCUUUUCCUGAUGACGAGUGGCGGACGGGUGAGUAAAGUUUGGGAAGCUACCUGAUAGAGGGGGACAACAGUUGGAAACGACUGCUAAUACCGCAUACAGCCUGAGGGUGAAAGCAGCAAUGCGCUAUCAGAUGCGCCCAAAUGGGAUUAGCUAGUAGGUGAGGUAAAGGCUCACCU